GUUAAUACCGCAUGGAUCUGCUUCUGUUGGUGAUGACGGAUGAUUUUAGAAAAUUUGAGAUGAGCUGUUCUUCCUCACCCCACACCCACCUCAGUCUCCAACUGCUUAUGCAGAGGUCUUCAGGAGGCUCCAAGACCAGCAGGCAUAUAAGCAAAACGGAACAUAGACACUGGAAGCAACUUUCCUGUGUUAGUAAGCCAGCAGCAUCCUCACACCAUGCGACUUUACAACAACUGCUGCCCUAUCCUCAGAGCCUCUGCCCGGCAUGGACUGGGGCACUCAGAAUGGUAUCCCUUGAUAUAAUGCAUAUACGAUGGCACUGUCUACCACCUCCUCAUGCCUAAACAUUUCUCAGUUUUCAGAUUUAGAGUCUCAAAACUGUUUCCACAGUAUUGAACUCCCAGUUUUCUAAACCCCAACACGUUUCUUUCUUGAUCACGGAUCGUCUUUUCGGAUGACAGCAUCCUGGCUUGAAUCCAGAGCAAAAAACCAUUGAAGUCAAAUUAAAACAUAAUUUUAUGAUGACAAAUUUAUUAAAGUUAAUAAUUCAACUCACU
Molecule: long non-coding RNA, 557 nt
Filed under: Homo sapiens (human)
Lineage: Eukaryota; Metazoa; Chordata; Mammalia; Primates; Hominidae
Description: long non-coding RNA NONHSAT152979.1
Source: RNAcentral